GAUUUGGUUUAAUGAACAGCUAAAAGUGAUCUACAAUGAACAUAUUUGCUAUUGUACAUAAAUGGUGCUUUUAAAGAGCUUUAGUUUUUUUUCUUAGGGAGGGAAAUCUGGUUUAGCCUGUUCGUGUGUUGUAAUACACAGAAGGAGAACCUUGCAUUGCAUUCUGUCCCAGUGGUUCCCAGUGGUGCACCGAAGAGCAAGCAUAAAUCGUCUUUCUCCCUGAUGUCUUUUUACCCAGCUUGCACCCAUCUCAGGUAGAAGAAGAGAGCUGAUCCUGAUGGCCUGGUUUCAGCAUUUGGAAGGGAUUACUUUUUCCAGGGUGGAACUGUCUAAGGCAUUUACACAUCCAGCAAUUACAGUGUCUUGCUGUGUUGUCCGGCUGGAGUGCUGUGGUGCGAUCUCAGCUCACUGCAACCUCCUCCUCCUGGGUUCAAAGGAUUCUCAUGCUUCCGUUCUGGAGUAGCUGGGAUUUACAGGCGCCUGAUGCCCUGCUGCACUCUGGGGACAGAAAAAGGAAUUAGAAGCUGUCCAGGGCUUUGAUGAGCUCACACUCUAACUUCGAGGAUUGUGAAAAGAGCAACUUAUUAUUCAUUGUGAUGAAGGCUAUGAUGGAGGCACAGACAAAUGGCUGUGAAAACAUAAGGAAAAGACCUGCCCAGGGGUGAAAAUUUCAUGAAGAAGGUGCCACUGGAACAGGACCUGGAGGGAGUUUUUACCAGAAUCGAGACUCUAAGCAAAAUGGUUCCAUAGCUGUUGAAGUAAAAAUGAAAACAAAACAAAACAAAACAAAAAAACCAGUAUAUUAGUAGCAAAUAUUCUGGGCUCCAGUUCCAUCUUUGCUAUUUUCUAGUCAUGUGGUCUUGGGCACAACAUUUAUCUGUGUUCUGAUUUCCUUAUCUUUUAAAUGGGAAUGAUAUGACAACAUACCUGUCAACAAUUCUGUGAGGAUCACAUGAAAUUAUACAUGUGCAAAUCUAAAACAUUAUAUGAAAAUAGCUUAAUUUCAAUAUAUGCUAUAAUAUGGUAUGAAAGUUUGUAUUCCCUAUUGGGAAGCCAAUCGAUAGUAUUUGUGGUUAAAAGUUAUUUUUAUAAUAUACAUUAACAUAUAUAAUAUAAAAUUAUUAAAAAUUAUGAUUAAAAAAUCAAUAACUGAGAAGAGAAAAGCAUAUUAUUUGGAAUUUUGGAAGCAAGACACUAGGGGAAUACCUGAAAGUGUUUGCUUUUGGGGAGUGAGCUUUGGAGGGCAAGUGUGUAGUAGGCAGGUACUUAUGUAUCACUUGACUUUUAAAACAUUUGGCUUUAAAAAAGGUAAAAGUAAAUAAAAAAGAGUGGAGAUCCAUCGAGAAGGGAGUUUAUUUGUGACCUGGAAUCCCUUGUUCCAUCAUACCCCCAAAGAAGAGCACAGAUCCUGCCCCUUGAAGCCUGACCUUGUACCCAGAUGCUCACUCUGACUUCAGGAUGGGAGAUUACUGAAGUUCUAGAGCAGUAGGUCCUAAUGAGGGAUGUACUGUGCCCUCAGGGAAAGUUUUCAUCUUCUGGGGAGUCAUUAUUAAUUGUCACAGUGACAAGGGAUGGUGAGGUAGGUGAGGGGCUCUGGAGUGGGUCACUGGCAUCUCCUGGACAGGAACUAGGGAUGCUAGACAUCUCGCAAGGUGUGA
This 1658-nucleotide long non-coding RNA is filed under the name Homo sapiens (human). RNAcentral describes it as "HSALNT0108890". The record is from RNAcentral. Lineage: Eukaryota; Metazoa; Chordata; Mammalia; Primates; Hominidae.